This 253-nucleotide ribosomal RNA is filed under the name uncultured bacterium. Its description in RNAcentral is "partial 16S ribosomal RNA". It matches the Rfam family "Bacterial small subunit ribosomal RNA", at positions 524 to 776 of the family's 1533-position model. The record is from RNAcentral.
UACGUGGGGUGCAAGCGUUGUCCGGAAUUAUUGGGCGUAAAGAGCUCGUAGGCGGUUUGUCGCGUCGGCUGUGAAAACUCGGGGCUCAACCCCGAGCCUGCAGUCGAUACGGGCAGACUAGAGUGCUGUAGGGGAGACUGGAAUUCCUGGUGUAGCGGUGAAAUGCGCAGAUAUCAGGAGGAACACCGGUGGCGAAGGCGGGUCUCUGGGCAGUAACUGACGCUGAGGAGCGAAAGCGUGGGGAGCGAACAGG